AGAGGUUGCCUGUGGCAUGUUCGCAUCCCUUGUGACGCACAAUCACGGUCAACCUCUCU
RNAcentral lists this microRNA precursor (59 nucleotides) under Cavia porcellus (domestic guinea pig). RNAcentral describes it as "microRNA cpo-mir-323b precursor". Its record names the gene cpo-mir-323b. Lineage: Eukaryota; Metazoa; Chordata; Mammalia; Rodentia; Caviidae. The record is from miRBase by way of RNAcentral.